UGUUGCUCAUUUUUUGCAUCAUUUCUUGAUAAGUUGCUCAUUGCCUUCCUUCCAUGUUUUUAUUUUAGAGAAAUCAACCAAUUUACUAACGUUUUCAAGGGUGAAGUCAAUUACUACCAUCUCAAACAAAAAAUCGACAACCCUUUGUGGGCUCUGCUCCUUAUUCACAUCUCUAGCAUCAAAAUAAACACUUUGAAAAAAAGGCUCUCGCUGCAAACUGUGGACACAAGUUCCUUUCAUUCACUUGUGAUUUAUCUUUUUCUGGACAGAGUACCUCGACGGGAUGACAUCUAAGGAAGAUAUCUACAACAAAGUGUAUGAAAGUGUUCAGAACUACCUGCUUAACAACAUAUAGGAAGACGGGGAUAACAGUGGAUUUGUGUAUAGACUUGUAAAUAUCAUUAUUUUGAGUUAAAUGUGUAACACCAGUUCUGUAACUUCUAGCCUGAUUUGUAAAUACUUAAUCCUGUAACUUAUUAAGAACUAACGGCAGAAGCGUUGUAUUUUGUAUAGUCCUUUGUAACUUUUUCUAAACGAUAAGCCACCUCUGGACUGCCCAGUGUUCAACAACGGGGACGGAUCGCAAAAAAAUGUCCCACUGGGAGGAAGGAUUUGUGUCUCGCAACUAAAUGAAAAGACUGAAUCCA
Molecule: non-coding RNA, 647 nt
Organism: Plectropomus leopardus (leopard coralgrouper)
Lineage: Eukaryota; Metazoa; Chordata; Actinopteri; Perciformes; Serranidae
Source: RefSeq, a predicted model, not a curated record